CAGUAGCCGCGGUAAUACGUAGGGUGCGAGCGUUAAUCGGAAUUACUGGGCGUAAAGCGUGCGCAGGCGGUCCGCUAAGACAGAUGUGAAAUCCCUGGGCUUAACCUGGGAACUGCAUUUGUGACUGGCGAGCUAGAGUAUGGCAGAGGGGAGUAGAAUUCCACGUGUAGCAGUGAAAUGCGUAGAGGUGUGGAGGAAUACCGAUGGCGAAGGCAGCUCCCUGGGCCAAUACUGACGCUCAUGCACGAAAGCGUGGGGAGCAAACAGGAUUAGAUAACCGCGUAGUCCCUGUCUCUUAUAC
This 301-nucleotide ribosomal RNA is filed under the name uncultured bacterium. Its description in RNAcentral is "partial 16S ribosomal RNA". It matches the Rfam family "Bacterial small subunit ribosomal RNA", at positions 509 to 807 of the family's 1533-position model. The record is from RNAcentral.